GGGGGGGCGCGGACAAUUCGCGAGGUUUUGGCCCUCUCAAAAGCGAAUUCCCCGGGGCUGAUUUUUCUUUUGGAAACACGUCAAGCCUCAAUUAAGAUGGAGAGACUUAAGUGGAGACUACAAAUGAAGGGUUUUGUGGGAGUUUCUAGUGAUGGUCGCAGUGGGGGGCUCGCUCUUUACUGGGAUGAGAAUCUGCAGGUGACAUUUUUAGAUUCUUGUGCACGGUAUAUUGAUGUGCAAAUUGUGGAUAGUGCUAAUGAUAAAUCUUGGAGGACUACCUUUGUUUAUGGUGAGCCAUGA
RNAcentral lists this ribosomal RNA (300 nucleotides) under Triticum aestivum (bread wheat). Its description in RNAcentral is "partial small subunit ribosomal RNA". Lineage: Eukaryota; Viridiplantae; Streptophyta; Magnoliopsida; Poales; Poaceae. The record is from RNAcentral.